UUUUUUUUUUUUUUUUUUUUUUUUUGGCUGGUAAUGUUUUCAUGCAGGAAAGUAGAGGUAAAGUGUGCUUGAGGAGGCAUUUUGGUACCCCUUUUAGAAACUGACCUCGGAGUCUCCCUUGUGGCUCAGCAGUAAUGAACCCAACUAGGAUCCAUGAGGACGUGGGUUUGAUCCCUGGCCUCACUCAGUGGGUUAAGGAUCUGGUAUUGCCGUGAACUGUGGUGUAGGUUCUGGACUCAGCUCGGAUCUGGCGUUGCUGUGGCUGUGGCGUAGGUCAGCAGCUGUAGCUCCACUUCGACACCUAGCCUGGGAACCUCCAUAUGCCGUGGGUGCAGCCCUAAAAAGACCAAAAACAAACAAAAAACUACCAAAAAACUCCUUUCUCUUCUACAGAAAAAAAAAAAUCUUUCUUAUUUAACCUAUAAAUGUCGGAGUACAGUUUUAAAAUUACAACAUUUACAUUAUUUAUAUCAUUACAAAUGCUGCAACUGCGAAGGGAAGUUUAACUUUGUACUUUUUGUGCUGUCCUUAGAGUGCGUCCAACUUAGGAUUCUACAGCUGACCCUUGAACAGUGCAGCGGUUCGUGGCCCCAACCCCCGCCUCCACAGCCAAAAAUUCAAGGAUAACUUUUGACUCCCAUAAAGCUUUACUAAUAGCCUGCUGUGGAGUGGAAGCUUUACCUGUCAAAGAGUCAGUUAACAUAUAUUUUGUGUGUUCUUUAUAUAUCUACAUAUAUUCAUGACAUACCUAACUUUUUCUUAAUUUCGGGGGGCGGGUAUUUCUAUGAUUACACAGUUCAUCUGUGAGUUUUUUCAAAUUGUUACAACUCUCCCCAAAUUUUUCCAAUAUAUUGACUGAAAAAAAAAAUCAGCCUAUAAGUAGACCCACACAGUUUCAACCUGUGUUAUUCAAGGGUCACCUGAGCAAUUAAAAACUGCCUUCACAAAUCUCUAAAAAUCAGUUCUUCCUCAGAGUGACUGUGUCCCCAGCAUGGCACAUGGUUAGUUCACAUCUUUCAACUUUUCAGUUUAAGAACUUUUCAAAUUUAGCUUUUUUGAGAGAGGUAAUUUAUUUACAUUAGUGAAAGGUUAAAAGUGUACAAAUGUUAAAUCUAGGUGGCAGGUAUAUGGGGUGUGUGUGUGUGUGUGUGUGUGUGUGUGUGUGCUUUUUAGGACCACACCUGUGGCAUCUGGAAGUUCCCAGGCAAAGGGUCCAGUUGGAGCUACGGCUGCCAGCCUAUCCCACAGCCACAGCAACUCGGGAUCUGAGCCUCAUCUGUGACCUACACCACAGCUCAUGGCAACGCCAGAUCCUUAACCUACUGAGCAAGGACAGGGAUUGAACCCGCAUCCUCAUGGAUACUAGUAGGGUUUUUAACCUGCUCAGCCACAACAGGAACUCCCUAUAUGGGAAUUUGUAAGUCAUUCUCUCUAUGUUUCUCUUUGAAAGUUAAAAUAAUUAAAUUUAAGCCAUAUAGAAAGAUAUACACAAUUGUCUUUACCUUGUUCCCUCAUGGAUACCCCUUUUAUUAGCAUAAAGCUUGACCCUUUGAGUCUUUGUUUUGCAGAUUCAAACUGUGUGUGUGUGUGUGUGUGUGUGUGUGUGUGUGCGCGCACGUGCGCGUGAGUUUGCAGCAGACUUUUGAUCACUGUCCAGGGAUUUCGAGACUGACAAUACUGGAUUUUUAUACUGCCCCAGUUUUGUUCAAAAGAUGUGAAUUUUGGAGUUCCCAUUGUGGCUUAGCGUUAAUGAACCCGACUGGUAUCCGUGAGGAUGAUGGUUCAAUUCCUUGGCCUUGCUCAGUGGAUUAGGAUCCGGCAUUGCUAUGGCUGUGAUGUAUGCCGGCAGCUGUAGCUCUCAUUCCACCUCUAGGCUGGGAACUUUCAUAUGGCCCUAAAAAGAAAAGAAAAGAAAAAGAUGUGACUUUUACGAAUACUGCCUUUGGAGUUCCCGUCGUGGCUCAGAGGAAACGACUCUGACUAAUAU
Molecule: long non-coding RNA, 1987 nt
Filed under: Sus scrofa (pig)
Lineage: Eukaryota; Metazoa; Chordata; Mammalia; Artiodactyla; Suidae
Description: lncRNA (ENSSSCG00060017127.1)
Source: RNAcentral